RNAcentral lists this ribosomal RNA (261 nucleotides) under uncultured prokaryote. RNAcentral's name for it is "partial 16S ribosomal RNA". It matches the Rfam family "Bacterial small subunit ribosomal RNA", at positions 524 to 784 of the family's 1533-position model. The record is from RNAcentral.
UACGGAGGAUCCGAGCGUUAUCCGGAUUUAUUGGGUUUAAAGGGUGCGCAGGCGGAAGAUUAAGUCGGCGGUGAAAUUUUGCAGCUCAACUGUAAAAGUGCCAUCGAUACUGGUUUUCUUGAGUGUGGAUGAAGUAGGCGGAAUUUGUGGUGUAGCGGUGAAAUGCUUAGAUAUCACGAGGAACUCCGAUUGCGCAGGCAGCUUACUAAACCACUACUGACGCUCAUGCACGAAGGCGUGGGGAUCAAACAGGAUUAGAUA